UAUCUAUAUUUCGUGCCCAACCUCACCCUUU
Molecule: non-coding RNA, 31 nt
Filed under: Mus musculus (house mouse)
Lineage: Eukaryota; Metazoa; Chordata; Mammalia; Rodentia; Muridae
Source: RNAcentral